This 440-nucleotide ribosomal RNA is filed under the name uncultured bacterium. RNAcentral describes it as "partial 16S ribosomal RNA". It matches the Rfam family "Bacterial small subunit ribosomal RNA", at positions 338 to 795 of the family's 1533-position model. The record is from RNAcentral.
CCUACGGGAGGCAGCAGUGGGGAAUAUUGCACAAUGGGGGAAACCCUGAUGCAGCAACGCCGCGUGAGUGAUGACGGCCUUCGGGUUGUAAAGCUCUGUCUUCAGGGACGAUAAUGACGGUACCUGAGGAGGAAGCCACGGCUAACUACGUGCCAGCAGCCGCGGUAAUACGUAGGGGGCGAGCGUUGUCCGGAUUUACUGGGUGUAAAGGGAGCGUAGGCGGCAUUUUAAGUGAGGUGUGAAAUACUCGGGCUCAACCUCCGUGCUGCAUUGGAAACUGGACGGCUAGAGUGCAGGAGAGGAGAGUGGAAUUCCUAGUGUAGCGGUGAAAUGCGUAGAGAUUAGGAAGAACACCAGUGGCGAAGGCGAUUUUCUGGACUGUAACUGACGCUGAGGCUCGAAAGCGUGGGGAGCAAACAGGAUUAGAUACCCGUGUAGUC